CCUACGGUGGCUGCAGUGGGGAAUAUUGGACAAUGGGCGAAAGCCUGAUCCAGCCAUGCCGCGUGUGUGAAGAAGGCCUUCGGGUUGUAAAGCACUUUCAGUGGGGAAGAAAGCCUUGGGGCUAAUACCCUCGAGGAAGGACAUCACCCACAGAAGAAGCACCGGCUAACUCCGUGCCAGCAGCCGCGGUAAUACGGAGGGUGCGAGCGUUAAUCGGAAUUACUGGGCGUAAAGCGCGCGUAGGCGGUCUGAUAAGCCGGUUGUGAAAGCCCCGGGCUCAACCUGGGAACGGCAUCCGGAACUGUCAGGCUAGAGUGCAGGAGAGGAAGGUAGAAUUCCCGGUGUAGCGGUGAAAUGCGUAGAGAUCGGGAGGAAUACCAGUGGCGAAGGCGGCCUUCUGGACUGACACUGACGCUGAGGUGCGAAAGCGUGGGUAGCAAACAGGAUUAGAUACCCCGGUAGUC
This 464-nucleotide ribosomal RNA is filed under the name Vreelandella stevensii. RNAcentral describes it as "partial 16S ribosomal RNA". It matches the Rfam family "Bacterial small subunit ribosomal RNA", at positions 338 to 795 of the family's 1533-position model. Lineage: Bacteria; Pseudomonadati; Pseudomonadota; Gammaproteobacteria; Oceanospirillales; Halomonadaceae. The record is from RNAcentral.